Molecule: ribosomal RNA, 468 nt
Filed under: uncultured bacterium
Lineage: Bacteria
Description: partial 16S ribosomal RNA
Rfam family: Bacterial small subunit ribosomal RNA
Source: RNAcentral
GACGAACGCUGGCGGCGUGCUUAACACAUGCAAGUCGAACGGAAAGGCCCUGCUUUUGUGGGGUGCUCGAGUGGCGAACGGGUGAGUAACACGUGAGUAACCUGCCCUUGACUUUGGGAUAACUUCAGGAAACUGGGGCUAAUACCGGAUAGGAGCUCCUGCUGCAUGGUGGGGGUUGGAAAGUUUCGGCGGUUGGGGAUGGACUCGCGGCUUAUCAGCUUGUUGGUGGGGUAGUGGCUUACCAAGGCUUUGACGGGUAGCCGGCCUGAGAGGGUGACCGGCCACAUUGGGACUGAGAUACGGCCCAGACUCGUAAGGGAGGCAGCAGUGGGGAAUAUUGCACAAUGGGCGGAAGCCUGAUGCAGCAACGCCGCGUGCGGGAUGACGGCCUUAGGGUUGUAAACCGCUUUGGCCUGUGACGAAGCGUGAGUGACGGUAAUGGGUAAAGAAGCAACGGCUAACUACGUG